RNAcentral lists this ribosomal RNA (402 nucleotides) under uncultured soil bacterium. Its description in RNAcentral is "bacterial SSU rRNA". It matches the Rfam family "Bacterial small subunit ribosomal RNA", at positions 26 to 429 of the family's 1533-position model. The record is from RNAcentral.
AGAUUGAACGCUGGCGGCAUGCCUAACACAUGCAAGUCGAACGGGAGUAGCAAUACUCUAGUGGCGGACGGGUGAGGAAUACGUAGGAAUUUGCCCUUAAGUGGGGGAUAACCCGGGGAAACCCGGAUUAAUACCGCAUGACCUCGAAAGAGCAAAGUGGGGGAUCGCAAGACCUCACGCUUUUGGAGAAGCCUGCGUCGGAUUAGCUAGUUGGUGAGGUAAUGGCUCACCAAGGCGACGAUCCGUAACUGGUCUGAGAGGAUGAUCAGUCACACCGGAACUGAGACACGGUCCGGACUCCGUACGGGAGGCCAGCGAGGUGGGGAAAUAGUUGGACAAGUGGGCGACAAGCCUGACUCCAGCAAUCGCCGCGUGUGUAGAAGAAGGCCUUAGGGUAGUAAG